RNAcentral lists this ribosomal RNA (492 nucleotides) under uncultured bacterium. Its description in RNAcentral is "partial 16S ribosomal RNA". It matches the Rfam family "Bacterial small subunit ribosomal RNA", at positions 29 to 507 of the family's 1533-position model. The record is from RNAcentral.
CGUGCACGCUGGCGGUAGGCCUAACACAUGCAAGUCGAACGGCAGCACAGUAAGAGCUUGCUCUUACGGGUGGCGAGUGGCGGACGGGUGAGGAAUACAUCGGAAUCUACUUUUUCGUGGGGGAUAACGUAGGGAAACUUACGCUAAUACCGCAUACGACCUACGGGUGAAAGCAGGGGAUCUUCGGACCUUGCGCGAUUGAAUGAGCCGAUGUCGGAUUAGCUAGUUGGCGGGGUAAAGGCCCACCAAGGCGACGAUCCGUAGCUGGUCUGAGAGGAUGAGCAGCCACACUGGAACUGAGACACGGUCCAGACUCCUACGGGAGGCAGCAGUGGGGAAUAUUGGACAAUGGGCGCAAGCCUGAUCCAGCCAUACCGCGUGGGUGAAGAAGGCCUUCGGGUUGUAAAGCCCUUUUGUUGGGAAAGAAAAGCAGCAGGUUAAUACCCCGCUGUUCUGACGGUACCCAAAGAAUAAGCACCGGCUAACUUCGUG